CAGACGGCUUAAAUCCUCCAAGCAGACGACCGUCUGCGUGACAUGUUCGUGCACGGCUCCUACAUUUUAGCGCAUGUUCACGUCUACGCACGUACAACCGGUGUGUUCUAGCCUUUAACUUAUUUUUAAAUGUGUCAAGUUUGACAGAAUAACGCCAUAACGCUGUUGUAUCUAUCACAAAAUAUUAUUGAAGUACAAAAUUAAUCUGAAUGACUAGAACACAAUCUUACCUAAAUAAUAUGCAUUGCUAUUACCUACAGCUAGCAUCGUUGACCUGAAACGUGGUCGAACAUGAGCAUCGGCGUUGGCGCCGGCGCGCCGCUGGCAGUGCGCAGGUACUGCCAAUGCGACAUCGAUGUUAUUCAGCACAUAGACACUCAUGAAUCAUAAAAAUACCUGAAUAAAACAGAUAUCUACGGAAAACAACACUCUUACUACUCGGACCGAAGAUUCGAAAGAACCCCAGUCACCAUCUCCAGCACCCCUAAGUACGUCCCCGCAGAGAACCUGAGCAAGCUGCCUCGUCUGACCAUGAUUACCAAGACGAACAACUACCAUCCAGGGCAGAGCUUUCUAACGAAGAGAGGUAGGAAGGUUCCGGGGAAGAAUGUGGUGUCAAAAUUACCAAUGAUGUAAUUGUUGGCUUGUUGUGGCGUAACUUAAUAAAAUUGUGAUUGCUUGA
Long non-coding RNA from Cydia pomonella (codling moth), 682 nucleotides. RefSeq lists it as uncharacterized. The record is from RefSeq and is a predicted model, not a curated record. The transcript is spliced from 3 exons. Lineage: Eukaryota; Metazoa; Arthropoda; Insecta; Lepidoptera; Tortricidae.